UUCAAUUAUACCUAUACCAUACGCAGUGUUGCUUCUCAGGUAAACUGAUCUUAUUUUUUUUUAAGACUAAUUAAAAACUGAUUCAAGUUGUUUAUUAUAGUGUGAUAACUAAUUAAACAUAAGCAAGGACAAAAGUAAUUAGUUUGGGCUUCAUGUACUGUAUAUGGGCUUUUUAAUGCAGGUGAGUUAAAUUCUUUCAAAAUAGCUGACCCAAAAAUUUUAAUUCAGUCAUCAUUUAAUCACCCUCAUGUUGUUCCAAAUCUGUAUGAUUUUCCUUCUUCAUGGAACAUAAAAGUAGAUAGUUCUGAAAAUGUCUCUUUUUCUUUUUUUUUCUUUAUACAGUGAAAAUCUAUAUUGUUUGGGACCCCUUUCACUUUCAUUGUUUCAAAACAUGAGGGUGAGUAAAUGACAGAUUUCUUUUUUCUUCAGUUUUUACAUGAAUGUAAAGCAAACUUCUCUCCUAAACAUAUCUCAUGCAGUGUGAUAGUAGGACGUCUCUCCCUAUAACAACCUUCCUUGCUGAAAGUCUUUGAUUGCACGCAGCAGUCCUAGUGGGACUACUAAUGUGCUCAGUCUCUCAUUAGUCAAGACCCCUGCCCCGCUUCCUUGCUUGUUACAUAGCCUACAUUAUCCCUUCAUAACCCUUUUCAACAGUAAAUCUGUCCUCUGGCCUCAUUUUAAUAUCCUGUUGUCCUUAAUAAUAUAUGCUUGCACACAGGUGUCUGUGUUUGCUCACAUACAGCAUAUCAAAGCUAAGAGAAGAUUUGACCUGGCAUGCAAUUAGGGAGAUGUUAUGUGGCAUUGAUUGGGUCUGGGGUUCACACAGUUUGUUUAGCUAAUUGCAGAUCAAAUGAGCUCAUUAGAGAGAUCAUCUUUGAAAGAUUUUCACUCUGGGACUGUGAAUGUUCAUGUUUAACUUCCUUUUGGUAAUGUACUCUGAUCUCAUUAUAUUGUAAGUGUAAGUAUAUUGUCUCAACAUGCUUUUUUCUGUUAUAAGCUUAUUAUGGUACCAUCUAGUAAUGGAACAAGGUAAAUCAAAACUUUAAUUGUAGCAAUUUGUGCUGCAUUUAAUUUGAGUGUGCUGUAUAUUUGGGGAAGUCGUGGCCUAGUGCAUAAAUGGCUGCCCACUGCUCUGGGUGUGUGUUCACGGUGUGUGUGUGUGUGUGUGUGUGUGUGUGUGUGUGUGUGUGUGUGUUCACUGCUGUGUGUGUGCACUUAGGAUGGGUUAAAUGCAGAG
Molecule: long non-coding RNA, 1237 nt
Organism: Cyprinus carpio carpio
Lineage: Eukaryota; Metazoa; Chordata; Actinopteri; Cypriniformes; Cyprinidae
Source: Ensembl